CAUAUGGUUUGUAUUUAUCUUUUAAGUCCAAAUCAUAUAUAUAGUUUAAAUUCAGAGACAAAAUUUUAUAAGGCUGAUCAUGUUUUACACUUUAAUUGACAUGUCUGCUUUAAGAAAAUACCGGAGACAAGACACAACACAAACGCAACUACAAUGAGUUUGCCACGGGCGAGAAGUCCAAAGACUCCUGUCCUGAAGACCCCCAAAAGAAAAAGUUAAAAGAAAAAUAUCAAACGGGAGUUAAAGGAGAGCCGUCAGAUCUAAAAUAUUAAAACAAAAAUAGGUCCCAUUUCUAAAUAUCCAACGGUAGAUAUUCAUCUCUCCCUCUCAUCUCAGUUUGCACAAUAUAAAUCCCUAAAAAUGGCGCAAACAAAAACCUAGUCAGCCACUCUCAGAGACUUUCUCUCUCUCUCACUCUCAGUCUAGAUCUCGUGAAUCCAAUGGACCAAGAAGGAGGAAAUCCAUGUGAUUUUGAAGUAAAGAAGGCUUUUUUAAAGCCUAAAGCUCCAACCGCCGAUGACCCAGAUUCCAUUUCUCCAUUACAGUCAGACCCGUCUAUGUCUCAACAGUUAUCCGAUGAAGAAAUAAUCGAGUCUGUCUAUCAGAGUCUCUUGUUAAUCAUUCUCUCACUGCAACUACAAGAGGUCAGUGCUGAGGUUUGGUGUUUUGAUUGCUGCAAGACACCUCCUCCUUCGCGGGUUGCAGAAACUGUUCCGGCGGAUACUUGUCCCGGAGCUCCAAUGAAGCUCGCUAAGUACUCAAGGACCAUUGACUCUGGACUCAGAAGGAAGCUCUUCUGAAUCUGACUAAUGUUGAAUUGAUGUUGUGACAUAAUGUUAGCUUUAGCUGGUAGAGCUUUUAGGGAUUGUAAUUUUAACUCUCUUUUAACUCUAGCUUCUUGCUUUUACUUAUGUUUGUACAGUCUUCUCAAAGGCUUUUAUGGGGACUCGUUGCUAAGCUAAGCUUCUUGUUGUUGUUGGAGACAUUCGGUUCUAUCUUUACUAGACAAAAAAAUCAAAACUUUCCCUUCUCUU
This is a long non-coding RNA of Raphanus sativus (radish), 1034 nucleotides long. RefSeq lists it as uncharacterized. The transcript has 2 exons. The record is from RefSeq and is a predicted model, not a curated record. Lineage: Eukaryota; Viridiplantae; Streptophyta; Magnoliopsida; Brassicales; Brassicaceae.